AACGAACGCUGGCGGCAUGCCUAACACAUGCAAGUCGAACGAGACCUUCGGGUCUAGUGGCGCACGGGUGCGUAACGCGUGGGAACCUGCCCUUAGGUUCGGAAUAACUCCCCGAAAGGGGUGCUAAUACCGGAUAAUGUCUUCGGACCAAAGAUUUAUCGCCUUUGGAUGGGCCCGCGUUGGAUUAGCUAGUUGGUAGGGUAAAAGCCUACCAAGGCGACGAUCCAUAGCUGGUCUGAGAGGAUGAUCAGCCACACUGGGACUGAGACACGGCCCAGACUCCUACGGGAGGCAGCAGUGGGGAAUAUUGGGCAAUGGGCGAAAGCCUGAUCCAGCAAUGCCGCGUGAGUGAUGAAGGCCUUAGGGUUGUAAAGCUCUUUUACCCGGGAUGAUAAUGACAGUACCGGGAGAAUAAGCACCGGCUAACUACGUG
RNAcentral lists this ribosomal RNA (433 nucleotides) under uncultured bacterium. RNAcentral's name for it is "partial 16S ribosomal RNA". It matches the Rfam family "Bacterial small subunit ribosomal RNA", at positions 29 to 507 of the family's 1533-position model. The record is from RNAcentral.